GACGAACGCUGGCGGCGUGCCUAAUACAUGCAAGUCGAACGAACCGCGACUAGUUGCUUGCACUUGGUCAAGGUGAGUGGCGAACGGGUGAGUAACACGUGGGUAACCUACCUCAUAGUGGGGGAUAACAGUCGGAAACGACUGCUAAUACCGCAUAGGACAUAGGAUCACAUGAUCCAGUGAGGAAAGGUGGCGCAAGCUAUCGCUAAGAGAUGGACCCGCGGUGCAUUAGCUAGUUGGUAGGGUAAAGGCCUACCAAGGCGAUGAUGCAUAGCCGACCUGAGAGGGUGAUCGGCCACAUUGGGACUGAGACACGGCCCAAACUCCUACGGGAGGCAGCAGUAGGGAAUCUUCCGCAAUGGACGCAAGUCUGACGGAGCAACGCCGCGUGAGUGAAGAAGGUCUUCGGAUCGUAAAGCUCUGUUGUUAGAGAAGAACAGCGCAUAGAGUAACUGUUAUGCGUGUGACGGUAUCUAACCAGAAAGCCACGGCUAACUACGUG
This 502-nucleotide ribosomal RNA is filed under the name uncultured bacterium. RNAcentral describes it as "partial 16S ribosomal RNA". It matches the Rfam family "Bacterial small subunit ribosomal RNA", at positions 28 to 507 of the family's 1533-position model. The record is from RNAcentral.